RNAcentral lists this unclassified non-coding RNA (4674 nucleotides) under Leishmania donovani. RNAcentral describes it as "gene:LdHU3.33.1630(CDS-product:Diacylglycerol_acy ltransferase_putative)". The record is from RNAcentral. Lineage: Eukaryota; Euglenozoa; Kinetoplastea; Trypanosomatida; Trypanosomatidae.
CUCCUUCCACGUAGCCGUACGGGCAGCGGGUCCCGUCCCACUCACCCACACACCACGAAGAGCACGCGCACGCGGGUUCAAACUGGCCGAUAGACAUAGUCGCCGUUGGGUUUCUGCAGGGGGUGGCCGCCAGUUUUGCCGCCCCCUCCGCCCUCGCCACCCUCUCUUUUCGCUUACAGACUCCUUGUUGCCUGGCCUGAACUUUGGGUGCUGGCUGCACUUUAACCUCUCUCUUGAGCCUUUUUCCAGGUGCUGGUCAGCGCGAGCGGAUCUCACCUGCGUUAUCGGAGACGCCGCUCUUCUCUACUUCGAACUGAUUUAUGCUUGCUUGUUUUCAGCUCUAUUUUCUUCUCAUCCUCGCCUCGAUCAUCCGGCUUGCACACCGCACAGUCUCUUUUUCUGCUCUGUUCUUCCUCCACCCCACCCCGUCGUAGAUCUGCUCGACUUAAACAAAACUCCACCCCGCUCCUUCUCUGGUCGAUCGCGCAUUCUUGUCUGCCGCUGAUGGAGAAGGGAGAUGUGUUUGUGUUUACCGGCGAUGCGGGUGCUGGUAGGAUUAACGGAGGUCCUGUGAAGCUAUCGGACAUGGUUGGUCAUAAACGCAUCGACAUCCUGACGAACGACCACAAGGGCCUCGGCGGACUCCUCUACGAACUUAACGUGCGAAGCUCUCCAGCGGGCUCGCCCGCGGUGAAUAUGUGCUCCGCUGAGGAGCGCAGUGCCGCGGUGCAGCGCCGUGAGCUCGGCAUUGUAGCACACUCGAUCCCAGAGCGGCAGACGCGAUACGGUGUGAACGUGCUAUCCCAGCCGCCGAAGGAGAGUAUGUGGCAGUUCGUGAAGAGCUCCAUACAGGACGAUCGCGUUGUGCAAAUUUUGAUUGGCGCUGCCCUCGUAUCUAUGAUACUUGGCAUCACCACCCCAGACUUCCGCACCGGCGAGGUCGACCUCGCCAUGGGUUGGGUCGAGGGGGCGGCCAUCUUCGCCUCCGUGUUCAUCGUGACAGUCGUGAACGCAGUGAACGACUACCGUAAGCAGGAGCAGUUUGCCGAGGUGAUGCGGGCCGAGAACGCCGCUCGCCGCAGGGUCACAGUGUGGCGCUAUGCCCCGCUCAGCAGCGCCGGCGGCUGCGGUGGCGGCGGUAGCGUGACGGGCACGGACGGCCUCGCCUGCGUGGCGCUGGAGGUGCCAAGCUCCGAUAUUGUCGUAGGGGACGUCGUACAGGUUAGCGCUGGGAUGCAGCUAACGUUCGACGCCGUGCUGCUGGGCAGUUUGGGCCCGAUCUUGGCGGACGAGAGUAGCGUCACCGGGGAGAACGAUGACGUGCUGAAGCAGGCGCUCACCGACCCAUUUCUCAUUAGUGGGUCGUCGCUGUUGGACGGGUCAGCUGAGGGAGUGGCGCUCGUCUGCGCGGUGGGGCCCAACUCCUUUUCGGGCGAGAUCACCAUGUCCAUUCAGUCAACGGAAAAAACGAACACGCCGCUUCAACACCAGCUCGAGGCGAUGGCGGAGGUCAUCGGCAAGUUCGGCAUUGGCGCGGCCGUCUUCACGUUUGCAGCGCUGCUCAUCAAGGAGCUCUUCAUGUACCUUGUGCGUGGCAGCCCACUGUACGCCAUGAAGUUCUUUGAAAACCUGACCACGGCGAUUGCCAUCGUGGUGGUCGCCGUACCAGAGGGCCUACCGCUCUCGGUCACCAUCUCACUCGCCUACAGCAUGCGGCUCAUGCUGAAGGAUGGCAACCUUGUCCGUCACUUGGCAGCGUGCGAGACCAUGGGCGGGGCGACGGUGCUGUGCACGGACAAGACGGGCACCUUGACGGUACCAACGAUGCAAGUGAAGCAAAUCUUCCUGUCCGCGGUCACGUACGCGGUAGAGGACGCCGACCCCGUCGUGGGGGGCGACCUCCCGACCUUUGGCGACGAGGAGUCACCAGCGGCGUUGCCGACUCGCUCCAUACAUACUCACACGUUCGCGCCGCCACCGCCGCCGCGCGGGUUUGGGCAAAGCCCGUUCUCGCGCGCGCCUCCCAGGAGAGCCAUCACCGUUCCCCUACCUCCGUCGAGCGUGCAGCUUCUGCUGGAUUGCAUUGUAGCCAACGCCGUUGACCCAGAGGUAGGGCGCGCGACCAACAAAACGAGCGAGGCGUUGUUGUGGCUCUGCCAUCUCAUGCACUGCUCGAGCAGCCACGCAACACAGCAGGAUGUGCAGUCGUUCCGCAACACUCAGGCCUCCAUGCUGGCCGCGAUGCAGGACCCGAGUCGGUGCCGUCGCUACCCGUUCAGCUCGCACAGCAAGAUGAGCCUGUGCAUGCUGCGGCAGCUGGCCCCGCCAGCUGAUGCAGACAACGGAGGGGGCCGCACGCGAAUCUAUGCGGCCGGCGCAGCUGAGGUCAUCCUGGCGCGCUGCACAUCGUACAUUAACGAUAAGGGUGUGCCGGUGCCGCUGACGUCUGAGAUGCGGGUCUGCCAUGAGCAGGCGUUGACGCACUAUACCGAAUCGGGGCUGCGGACUAUCUGCUGUGCCUUCAGCGAUGCGCACGGUGCCGCAGAGGCGAUCCUGUGGAACCAGCAGCCGCAGCAGCUGCAGCACGGCGCGGCCGCUGCGUAUGGCGGCGAGUUCUGCAUGAUCGGAAUGGUCGGCCUUGAGGAGGAUGUACGGCCGGAGGUGCCUGGCGCAGUGAGCCAGUGCUUUGGAGCGGGCUUGCGCGUCAUCAUGAUCACCGGUGACGCCACUCUCACAGCAAUCAAUAUUGCACGCCGCUGCGGGCUGAUUCGCGGCGGCUCAAGCAGUGGCGCGCUAAGGGGCUCGCCGCUGCUGGACGGCAGCCGCACCCUGCGCAACCCCGAGGCGCCUAGCUGGUCGACUACUGCUACGCUCGCGAACGGUAACGACAACGGCUUCAGCCCGACGGAGAACAUUGAUGCUGCCAUCUUCGUGAAUACGUCGCUGCUUCACUACGAAAACAGCGGCGCUGCCUCUGAUGUCGAGGGUCAGUUUUUGGACAGCGCGUUUGGCCGAACAGCGUGGAUGAUGCAGGAACCGACCGCGAAUGCGUCACCCCAGCAGCUCAUAGAUAGCGGCUACGCCCUCGACGGAGAAACCUUUCGGCAGCUCAGCGACACGGAGCUGCUCCAGCAGUACCUGCCGCACAUUCGCAUCCUUGCUCGCGCGACGCCGAUGGACAAGAAGAGGCUGCUCUCCCUCCUGCGCCGCAUCGACCCGAGCGCGGUGAUUGCAAUGACCGGCGACGGUACCAAUGACGCGCCGGCACUAAAGCUUAGCGACGUCGGAUUCGCCAUGAACGGCGGUAGUGACGUGGCGAAGCGCGCGUCCGAUAUCAUUUUGCUGAACGACAACUUCAUUGGCAUGGUGAAGGCGACCAUGUGGGGCCGAAACGUCAAGGAUAACAUCCGCAAGUUUCUGCAGUUUCAGCUCACGGUGAACUUUUCGGCGUGCGUUGUCUCUUUCUGUGGCGCUAUCAUGAGCGAGCAGAACAUGUCGCCCCUGAAGCCGGUGCAGCUCCUCUGGUUGAACCUCAUCAUGGACACGCUCGCCGCCCUCGCGCUGGCGACGGAGCUGCCAUGUGAGCCCAUGCUCCUCUCCCGGCCGCCCGAGUCGAAGGAUACCGCAAUCAUCGUGCCGAGCAUGUGGUUCCAGAUUGGCUUCCAGAGCACCUUCCAGGUCAUGUGCCAGCUUUUCCUGCUCGGCUAUGGGAAUGUGCUGCUGAGCGCGCGGGGGCACACGAAACCGCUGCCGCCCUCCGGGGAGCCGCCGCGCGACCCGCGCUACUUCAGCGACGCCCACAUCUGCUUUCUCUUCAACUCGUUUGUGUGGAUGCAGAUCUUCAACUUCUUUAACGCACGUCUGCUACACCGCAGCGAGGGCUUCUUCUCCAACUGGGCGGACAGCGCCGUGCUCUUUGUUAUUGUCGGCAUCAUUGUCGUGUUGCAGAUCAUAAUUGUGGAGUUUGGCGGCAAGAUUAUGUCCACGGUGCCUCUGACAGCCCAUGAGUGGUUCUAUUCUGUCCUCAUCGCAAGCGGCACCCUGCCGGUGGGCGCCGUCUCGCGCUGGAUCUAUGCCCGUUACUCGAAACGCGUGCUGCCGCGCGACGGGUGCUCGCGAGGGUUGCUGUCGCGGCUUCGGCGCAGUGUGAAGAGUGGUAGGCUGAAGGGAAAGAGGUAGCGGCGGUCGUGUUUGGUCAGGGCGCCUCCUGCCCUUCUUUCACCUCUCGCCUGCACUCUCGUAUCUCUCAAUGCUGUGGUGGCACUUACGCGCUGCCGCCUUCCGUGCUUGUCGCUUUCUCUCUUCAUGCGUGCGUAGGAAAGGUGUUCGCGUGCGCAUAUCAGGGAGUCGCACACUGCGCUUGCUGGGGGUGGCAGGGGGUGAGCGCAUCGCGUCAGCGGCGCGCCGUAUUUAUGUUCGUCGUCUCGCUGAUCUCCUUUCUUUUUCUGGGCCUUUUUUUGAUGCCGCACCAGUUCGUCUUUGUUGUGAUUUGGGUCGCCCACUCCUUCUUGGUUGUGGGCGGGGAUGGGGAGUUGGAAGGCGUGCUUGCCAUGCGUGUUGUUUCGAACGCGAAAGAAAAAAUGUAUGAAAAGUCGUGGUUCAUUCACUCGCUAAUGUCCCCACUCUCUGACCUCUUCUCCCCAGCUUUUCUCUUUCUCGGUCUCUCCAUCAUAG